CGGGAAAAGAAUUGGCUCUGAAGGAUGGGUAUAUGGGGAAUGUUUUAGCCUUGUUGAUUUUUUAUUGGAAAUGGGGUCGCAAGAUUUCGUUUCUUCUUUUUAAUUUACAAUAACAAUUCAUUCUAAUCAACUAUAUACAACAAACAUCUAAUUCAGAACUGGUACGAACAAGGAGAAUCCGACUGUUUAAUUAAAACUAAGCAUUGUGACGGUUCGUAAGAAUGUAGACACAAUGUGAUUUCUGCCCAGUGCUCUGAAUGUUAACGUGAAGGAAUUCAAACAAGCGCGGGUAAACGGCGGGAGUAACUAUGACUCUCUUAAGGUAGCCAAAUGCCUCGUCAUCUAAUUGUGACGCGCACGAAUGGAUUAAUGAGAUUCUCACUGUCUCUACCCACCAUCUAGCGAAACCACAGCCAAGGGAACGGGCUUGGAAAAGAAAGCGGGGAAAGAAGACCCUGUUGAGCUUGACUCUAGUCUGCUUCUGUGAAAAGACUUUGGAGGUGUAGCGUAAGGAGGAGCUUUACGGCGAACUUGAAACACUCCUACUUCGAACGUCUUUUUACUUCGGGUGUAAAAUGAUAUUGAAAGGAUGAAAGUUCUUUUAUUAUUUGAAUUCAUUGUAUACUAUAUACAACAAUCAAUCACCCAACAAAAGCAGGUGGGGAGUUUGACUGGGGCGGUACAUCUGCGAAAAAAUAGCGCAGGUGAACCAAGGCGGGCUCAGUGAGAAGAGAAAUCUCACGUAGAGCUAAAGGGCAAAAGCCCGCUUGAUUUAGUCUUUCAGUGUGAGAACAAACGAGGAAACUGUGUCCUAUCGAUCCUUUAUGUUUUGCGGAGAACCUCCGCCUAGAGGUGCCAGAAAAGUUACCACAGGGAUAACUGGCUUGUGGCUGCCAAGCGUCCAAAGCGACGUAGCUUUUUGAUCCUUCGAUGUCGGCUCUUCUCAUCAUUCCGUUGCAGAAGGCGGAAAGUGUCAGAUUGUUCACCUGUAAAAGAGGAACGUGAGCUGGGUUUAGACCGUCGUGAGACAGGUUAGUUUUACCCUACUUUCAGAUUGAUUUCUUGACUCGACACGGAGGUAGUACGAGAGGAACUGUCCGUGGGCGCAUUUGGUUCGUGCUUUCGUUGAACAACGAGUGAGCAGAUGCUACGCGCUCUUUUGAUAAAAACUGAAGGCCUCUAAAGUUUGAAUCAGACGAGAACAUGGAAGUCUAUAUUGCUUUUGAUUUUAUCCAGAUGCAUGAAUAUUUUUCAGAAAUGCUGUGUGGAGUUAUUGU
RNAcentral lists this ribosomal RNA (1277 nucleotides) under metagenome. RNAcentral's name for it is "eukaryotic LSU rRNA". It matches the Rfam family "Eukaryotic large subunit ribosomal RNA", at positions 1937 to 3226 of the family's 3401-position model. The record is from RNAcentral.